This 506-nucleotide ribosomal RNA is filed under the name uncultured bacterium. RNAcentral's name for it is "partial 16S ribosomal RNA". It matches the Rfam family "Bacterial small subunit ribosomal RNA", at positions 29 to 523 of the family's 1533-position model. The record is from RNAcentral.
AGUGAACGCUGGCGGUAGGCCUAACACAUGCAAGUCGAACGGCAGCACAGGAGAGCUUGCUCUCUGGGUGGCGAGUGGCGGACGGGUGAGGAAUACAUCGGAAUCUACUCUGUCGUGGGGGAUAACGUAGGGAAACUUACGCUAAUACCGCAUACGACCUACGGGUGAAAGCAGGGGACCUUCGGGUCUUGCGCUAUUGAAUGAGCCGAUGUCGGAUUAGCUAGUUGGCGGGGUAAAGGCCCACCAAGGCGACGAUCCGUAGCUGGUCUGAGAGGAUGAUCAGCCACACUGGAACUGAGACACGGUCCAGACUCCUACGGGAGGCAGCAGUGGGGAAUAUUGGACAAUGGGCGCAAGCCUGAUCCAGCCAUACCGCGUGGGUGAAGAAGGCCUUCGGGUUGUAAAGCCCUUUUGUUGGGAAAGAAAUCCAGCUGGCUAAUACCCGGUUGGGAUGACGGUACCCAAAGAAUAAGCACCGGCUAACUUCGUGCCAGCCGCCGCAGUAA